This 307-nucleotide unclassified non-coding RNA is filed under the name Hevea brasiliensis (rubber tree). Lineage: Eukaryota; Viridiplantae; Streptophyta; Magnoliopsida; Malpighiales; Euphorbiaceae. The record is from RNAcentral.
UUUAAUCAUUUUGUUAUCUCUAUUUCUCGAUAGAUUUGAGACACCAAGCUUGGUGUGAGACAGAGAGCAGACGGAGGGAUUGUGCGCGCGCCUCUCUACUACCUUCAAAAACACGUAAUGGCCACUUCCACCAGCACUCUGCUCCUCUUCUCGCUUCUCUUCACCACCACUGUUACCACCUCCUCCACUUCUCUCCACCGUCACCUCCUCCACCAACCCUUUUUCCCUCUUACUACCACCGUCCCUCCAAUCCAACCUCCUUCUUUUUCUCCCCAAGUUCAACCUCUGCCUCAAACCCAACCAAAAU